UGGUUUCAGAUCAACAGGUAAUUUGUCCAACGACAAUACUAUUUUUACUCAUUAUACGUACAUGUAUGCAUACUUCUUUUUAGCAGUAUGCGAACCACACUUUUUUUGUCAACAGGAUUUCUGUUUUGAUGUUCGAAACAUAAGUUUGAGGAACACAAAUAUCACACCUCAAACCACAUCAGCUUGCACCUGCUUGCCCAAAUUUGACGUGACACCGGAAAAAAAUAGAGGUGCAAUGGCAACAGAGGAAAUGGAACAAAAUGACAGUGGGCCAGUUUUUGACCAGACCCCAACUCCUCAUGUUGAUACACUCAAAGGUACUACAAACUCUGGAUCUGAUCCACCACUUACAGAGCAAGAGUGUAUCCGUUCUCUGUGGGAUUUAAUUUGUUCCAAGGACAUUGACCAA
Long non-coding RNA from Zea mays, 409 nucleotides. RefSeq lists it as uncharacterized. Lineage: Eukaryota; Viridiplantae; Streptophyta; Magnoliopsida; Poales; Poaceae. The transcript is spliced from 3 exons. The record is from RefSeq and is a predicted model, not a curated record.